UCCUGGCUCAGGAUGAACGCUAGCUACAGGCUUAACACAUGCAAGUCGAGGGGAAACGACAUCGAAAGCUUGCUUUUGAUGGGCGUCGACCGGCGCACGGGUGAGUAACGCGUAUCCAACCUGCCCACCACUUGGGGAUAACCUUGCGAAAGUAAGACUAAUACCCAAUGAUAUCUCAAGAAGACAUCUGAAUGAGAUUAAAGAUUCAUCGGUGAUGGAUGGGGAUGCGUCUGAUUAGCUUGUUGGCGGGGUAACGGCCCACCAAGGCUACGAUCAGUAGGGGUUCUGAGAGGAAGGUCCCCCACAUUGGAACUGAGACACGGUCCAAACUCCUACGGGAGGCAGCAGUGAGGAAUAUUGGUCAAUGGACGAGAGUCUGAACCAGCCAAGUAGCGUGCAGGAUGACGGCCCUAUGGGUUGUAAACUGCUUUUAUAAGGGAAUAAAGUGAGUCUCGUGAGGCUUUUUGCAUGUACCUUAUGAAUAAGGACCGGCUAAUUCCGUGCCAGCAGCCGCGGUAAUACGGAAGGUCCGGGCGUUAUCCGGAUUUAUUGGGUUUAAAGGGAGCGUAGGCCGGAGAUUAAGCGUGUUGUGAAAUGUAGACGCUCAACGUCUGCACUGCAGCGCGAACUGGUUUCCUUGAGUACGCACAAAGUGGGCGGAAUUCGUGGUGUAGCGGUGAAAUGCUUAGAUAUCACGAAGAACUCCGAUUGCGAAGGCAGCUCACUGGAGCGCAACUGACGCUGAAGCUCGAAAGUGCGGGUAUCGAACAGGAUUAGAUACCCUGGUAGUCCGCACGGUAAACGAUGGAUGCCCGCUGUUGGUCUGAAUAGGUCAGCGGCCAAGCGAAAGCAUUAAGCAUCCCACCUGGGGAGUACGCCGGCAA
RNAcentral lists this ribosomal RNA (884 nucleotides) under uncultured bacterium. RNAcentral's name for it is "bacterial SSU rRNA". It matches the Rfam family "Bacterial small subunit ribosomal RNA", at positions 17 to 891 of the family's 1533-position model. The record is from RNAcentral.